AAACUGCGAAUGGCUCAUUAAAUCAGUUAUCGUUUAUUUGAUAGUACCUUACUACUUGGAUAACCGUGGUAAUUCUAGAGCUAAUACAUGCUAAAAACCCCGACUUCGGGAGGGGUGUAUUUAUUAGAUAAAAAACCAAUGCCCUUCGGGGCUCUUUGGUGAUUCAUGAUAACUUAACGGAUCGCAUGGCCUUGCGCCGGCGACGGUUCAUUCAAAUUUCUGCCCUAUCAACUUUCGAUGGUAAGGUAUUGGCUUACCAUGGUUUCAACGGGUAACGGGGAAUUAGGGUUCGAUUCCGGAGAGGGAGCCUGAGAAACGGCUACCACAUCCAAGGAAGGCAGCAGGCGCGCAAAUUACCCAAUCCCGACUCGGGGAGGUAGUGACAAUAAAUACUGAUACAGGGCUCUUUUGGGUCUUGUAAUCGGAAUGAGUACAAUUUAAACCCCUUAACGAGGAACAAUUGGAGGGCAAGUCUGGUGCCAGCAGCCGCGGUAAUUCCAGCUCCAAUAGCGUAUAUUAAAGUUGUUGCAGUUAAAAAGCUCGUAGUUGAACCUUGGGCCUGGCUGGCCGGUCCGCCUCACCGCGUGUACUGGUCCGGCCGGGCCUUUCCUUCUGGAGAGCCGCAUGCCCUUCACUGGGUGUGUCGGGGAACCAGGACUUUUACUUUGAAAAAAUUAGAGUGUUCAAAGCAGGCCUUUGCUCGAAUACGUUAGCAUGGAAUAAUAGAAUAGGACGUGCGGUCCUAUUUUGUUGGUUUCUAGGACCGCCGUAAUGAUUAAUAGGGAUAGUCGGGGGCAUCAGUAUUCAAUUGUCAGAGGUGAAAUUCUUGGAUUUAUUGAAGACUAACUACUGCGAAAGCAUUUGCCAAGGAUGUUUUCAUUAAUCAGUGAACGAAAGUUAGGGGAUCGAAGACGAUCAGAUACCGUCGUAGUCUUAACCGUAAACUAUGCCGACUAGGGAUCGGGCGAUGUUUCUAUCUUGACUCGCUCGGCACCUUACGAGAAAUCAUAAGUUUUUGGGU
This 1021-nucleotide ribosomal RNA is filed under the name Atrocalyx lignicola. Its description in RNAcentral is "SSU rRNA". It matches the Rfam family "Eukaryotic small subunit ribosomal RNA", at positions 84 to 1112 of the family's 1831-position model. Lineage: Eukaryota; Fungi; Ascomycota; Dothideomycetes; Pleosporales; Lophiotremataceae. The record is from RNAcentral.